Molecule: ribosomal RNA, 743 nt
Filed under: uncultured fungus
Lineage: Eukaryota; Fungi
Description: eukaryotic LSU rRNA
Rfam family: Eukaryotic large subunit ribosomal RNA
Source: RNAcentral
GCAUAUCAAUAAGCGGAGGAAAAGAAAAUAACAAUGAUUCCCCUAGUAACGGCGAGUGAAGAGGGAUUAGCUCAAAUUUUAAAUCUGUUGGGUUUAUCUCACCAGAGUUGUAAUUUGUAGAAGCGUUUUCUGCUUCCCGUCAGGUCUAAGUCCUUUGGGAUAAGGCAUCAUUGAGGGUGGGAAUCCCGUUCGAUCUGGGUCGGGUUGCUUUACGAUACGCUUUCAAAGAGUCAAGUUGUUUGGGAAUGCAGCUUAAAAUGGGAGGUAAAUUUCUCCUAAAGCUAAAUAUUGGCGAGAGACCGAUAGCGAACAAGUACCGUGAGGGAAAGAUGAAAAGCACUUUGAAAAGAGAGUUAAAUAGUACGUGAAAUUGUUGAAAGGGAAACGAUUGAAGCCAGUCGUACCGACGGAGAAUCAACCUUUGGAAUGCGAAUCGAGGUAUUCGAAGAGUUUAAAAGCCUUCGUGUGCUUUCGCAUUCGUGCUUCAUGGGUGCACUUCUUCGUAUGGUAGGUUAACAUCAAUUUUGGACGUUACAGAAUGAUUGGGGGAAUGUAGCUUCGAUUUUUCGAAGUGUUAUAGCCCUUGGUAGAUGUGACGACCGGGAUUGAGGAUUGCAACGAAUGCUUUCGGGCUAUCCGUCUGACCUCUGGUGGUUGCUUUGGGGUCGAAAGCGUGCUUACGACUUUAAAGUUGGCUAUCAAAAGGCUAGAACGUGAUUAAAUUCGUUAAGGAUGUUGACGUA